AUCAGUUCGAACAGGCUGUGCUGCAUCUGGCUUCGGAAAGAAGAAGAAGAAGAAGAAGAAGUUGAUGGUCGACGAUGGGGUGGGGAUGGACGAUAUACGAGGGAGUCGUGAGCUUAGGUUCGCUAUGGCUACUUGGUUGGGCUGGUCUCUGGUUCUUGAACCAGAGACUCUACAAAGAGUACGAAGAGAAGCGUGUUUUGGUUCAGAUCAUCUUCAGCGUUGUUUUUGCUUUCUCCUGUAAUCUUCUCCAGCUCGUUCUCUUCGAGAUCAUUCCCAUUCUAUCCACGGAGGCUCGAUGGUUGAACUGGAAGCUCGAUCUCUUCUGUUUGAUACUCUUGCUGGUCUUCAUGUUGCCCUAUUACCAUUGUUACUUGAUGCUCUGCAACAGCGGAAUCAGAAAGGAACGGGCUGCUCUUGGAGCUAUCUUGUUUCUGCUCGCCUUUCUUUAUGCCUUUUGGCGCAUGGGCAUUCACUUUCCCAUGCCUUCCCCUGAUAAAGGUUUCUUUACCAUUCCUCAAUUGGUUAGUAGAAUUGGGGUCAUUGGUGUUACUGUCAUGGCUGUCUUGUCUGGUUUUGGAGCUGUUAAUUUACCCUACAGUUAUCUAUCUCUCUUCAUUAGAGAGAUUGAAGAAUCAGAUAUUAAGGCCUUGGAAAGACAACUAAUGCAGUCAAUUGAGACUUGCAUUGCAAAGAAAAAGAAAAUUGUCCUUAGUCAAAUGGAGGUGGAGCGUAUUCAGGGCUCCGAAGAGAAAUUAAAAGCUAGAUCCUUCUUCAAACGAAUUGUUGGUACUGUUGUCCGAUCUGUGCAAGAUGACCAAAAGGAGCAAGAUAUUAAAGGUAUGGAAGCAGAGGUGCAAUCAUUGGAGGAGCUUUCAAAGCAACUCUUUUUGGAAAUCUAUGAGCUUCGCCAAGCAAAGGAGGCUGCUGCUUAUUCUCGAACCUGGAGGGGUCACAUGCAAAAUUUACUUGGCUAUGCAUGUUCAGUGUAUUGUGUAUAUAAGAUGAUAAAGUCUUUGCAAAGUGUUGUUUUUAAGGAGGCUGGUUCAGUUGAUCCUGUGACUAGGACAAUUACCAUAUUCUUGCAGUUUUUUGACAUUGGGAUUGAUGCCGCAUUGUUAUCACAGUACAUUUCUCUUUUAUUCAUCGGAAUGUUGAUCGUUAUCUCAGUACGUGGUUUUUUGACAAAUCUAAUGAAGUUCUUUUUUGCAGUUUCCAGAGUUGGGAGUGGAUCUUCAAGUAAUGUUGUACUAUUUUUAUCUGAAAUUAUGGGGAUGUACUUUGUGUCCUCCAUUCUUUUAAUAAGGAAAAGCUUGGCGACUGAAUAUCGGAUCAUCAUAACGGACGUACUGGGUGGCGAUAUUCAGUUCGACUUCUAUCACCGGUGGUUCGAUGCAAUCUUUGUGGCCAGUGCUUUCCUUUCACUACUUCUGCUCUCUGCACAUUACACAUCUCGACAAGCUGAUAAACACCCUAUUGAUUAGCUAACAUGAUUCAAUUCAGUGCCAAGUAGGCAUGUGGAAAUUAUGCUUGUACUCGCAUUAUUGUAAUUUCUGUGGCGGCACCGUUAGGCUGGAGGAGGCACCGAGGGAUCCUUUGGGUGCCGGUGUGGGUGCUUUGGGGGUCUGGCUCCUUGAGAGGUCAAGGUGCUUUAUACUAUGAGUAGAGAAAUCUAGCGAGAAAGAGAGAGAUGAGAGAAAUUGAUUGAGGGAGAGAGAAAUGGGAAAAAUUAUGCUAAGGGUGUAUUUGGAAUAAAAAAAAGGGUAUCAUAUUUUAAUGAUGCUAAAGUGUAGGCCUUUCUUUUUUUUUUUUUUUUAUAAUUUAGAUACCCUAUUAAGCAUGGAAACUCAAAUUUCCUUGUAUAAUAAAACAAAACAAAAAAGUUAUUGCCGAGAACCUUAAUUUGUUAUAAUUUUUGUAAAGUAAAAUGUAUGUCGUUUAAGUAUUUUGGUCGCUUUUGUAAAUGAGAAACGACGUGCAAUUUUAUUGAUAUAUAAAAAUAUGAAACGACAGGUCGUUUAAGCUUGAGUACUAAUGUAUGUACUGAGUGAGUCUGGGUUUUGGCGUGCAAAUUUUUAUUGUGGUAACCACAACAUGAAAGUUGUAUUUUACCAAACAAAAUAAAGGUAUUUAUUUAUUUAUGGUGUGUAUGAAUGUGUAUGUAUGCUUUUUUUAGGAGAAUUUUACAUAAAGUGACAAAAAAAAGUCAUUUUUUAAACAUUUUUACUUACACAAGAGUUUUUUAACAUUUUUACUAUUCAUCAUUUUUUUUUUUUUCCUGUCAUUUUUACGGACUCUCCGGCUCCAGUGGAGCUCCUACAUGUGGGAAGUCGGCGGGGCUGUGUCGGUGGUGGUGGUGGGGCUCGCGCGAAGGGACUCUCGGCUGGUGGUUGCGACGAAGCAUGGGAAAGGCUUGGCAUCAACAUUUUGGGUGCCAGGUUUGUGGCUUCGCGGCUGGGAUCUCGGAGGCUGGUUUCGCACGCAGUAAGACUGGGUGCUUGAGGAUUUAGCGACUUGGAGCUGAGAUGGGGAGAGGCGAGGUGUCCUAGGCUUGCGCAGAGGUUUGGGUCGAGUCGAGCUUGCACAGGUGGAAUCGCGCCUGUGGCGUGCAUGGGCUACAGAGCUCAAUGCUUGGACGGGGUCGCGAAUCGCAGGGGUGCUCGGAGCUUACGACGAAGUGCACCGGGGCUCGAUUUUGGGGUUUUGGUGAGGAUGAGGAGGCUAGGGGUUCUGGGUUCAAGGUUGGUUGGGUAAUGAGAACGGGGUGCAAGUUCUAGGUUUUUUUCAAUAUUGUUGUCGUGAUUUUUUUUUAAGUGUAAUGGGUUGCAUUGUGUUAUUAUGAAGUUGUUGUUUUUAUACUGUUUAGAAUUUAUGUAUAAUUAUUUUCAUGUUGA
RNA transcript from Humulus lupulus (European hop), 2891 nucleotides. It is a transcript of the gene named GPCR-type G protein 1, with no coding region annotated. The record is from RefSeq and is a predicted model, not a curated record. The transcript has 15 exons. NCBI's taxonomy places the organism in Eukaryota, Viridiplantae, Streptophyta, Magnoliopsida, Rosales, Cannabaceae.